This 253-nucleotide ribosomal RNA is filed under the name uncultured bacterium. Its description in RNAcentral is "partial 16S ribosomal RNA". It matches the Rfam family "Bacterial small subunit ribosomal RNA", at positions 524 to 776 of the family's 1533-position model. The record is from RNAcentral.
CACGUAGGCACCAAGCGUUGUCCGGAUUUAUUGGGCGUAAAGAGCGUGUAGGCGGUCAGGUAGGUCCGUUGUGAAAACUCGAGGCUCAACCUCGAGACGCCGAUGGAAACCAUCUGACUAGAGUCCGGAAGAGGAGAGUGGAAUUCCUGGUGUAGCGGUGAAAUGCGCAGAUAUCAGGAAGAACACCCGUGGCUAAGGCGGCUCUCUAGUACGGUACUGACGCUGAGACGCGAAAGCGUGGGGAGCGAACAGG